Molecule: RNA transcript, 1303 nt
Organism: Macrosteles quadrilineatus (aster leafhopper)
Lineage: Eukaryota; Metazoa; Arthropoda; Insecta; Hemiptera; Cicadellidae
Gene name: out at first protein-like
Exons: 6
Source: RefSeq, a predicted model, not a curated record
AGCAGACGCCAACUUCGCCGUCGAAUUUUAUAAGGUUCCGUGUCUAGACGGUGUUUACUUCAGUCAGGAAUCGGACUUCGAAAUGGAACCUUAUCGGUGUGAUUGAUUAACUGAAUCGCGUAUCAUCAAACUCGAUAUUUCUAAGUUAAAUUAUGGCUUUUGGAUUCACUGUUGCAAAUGAUGUUUAUUGGUUACUUUUCGUGGUUGUGUUCUUUUCAGCAAAUUUGGGAGACUCUCUGCUGCUGAUAAAUGUUAAAAAUCAGGGAGGAGAUGUCCUACAAGAGACAAUAUCUGCCAAUGUCAGUGAUGACACGGUCUUGCUGGAGUUCCAGAGAUCUGACGGAACCUUGGUCACACAACUGGUGGACUUUAGACAUGAGGUGCAGAUAUUAAAGGCCUUAGUUCUGGGAGAGGAGGAAAGAGGCCAAAGCCAGUAUCAGGUCAUGUGCUUCGUCAACCACAUUGACAAAAUGGAGUUUAUAUCACCUGACGCCAUGGCCAAACUAAGACAGAAAAACCCUGGCACAGUGCGGACGCCAGAGGAGGACCGGGGCCGGGAGAACAUGACUAUGGAGCUGUUUGUAGACGUGGCACGUGCCGGAGUCAUCUCUAGACACGUGCCGGUGUUGUGUGCCGAGGCCAGCGAUGCUACAUACACCCGACGUGCCGACAUAGACAUGUGGAGUCAGCUACCAGGUUCCUCUAAAGCGUCGUUGUUGGCAGCAGUGAGAGAAUACAACGGUUUGGUGCCUCCACCGCAGAGAUGUCUAGAGACCCAUGCGCCGUGGCAAGCCUGUACUUGUCACCUGGAGCUGUGCAUUGGCUGGUACCCCUGCGGCCUCAAGUACUGCAGGGGGGCCAACCCGCGUACAGCCAACUACAGGUGUGGCAUCCGCACGUGUCGCAAGUGUAGUCUCUACCUCUACUACGUCCGUCAGAAGCAACUCUGUCUGUGGGAUGAAUGACCCUCGUAGUAAAUGAACACUUCACCGGUGACUGGUAGUAAAUGAACACUUCACCGGUGACUGGUAGUAAAUGAACACUUCACCGGUGACUGGUAGUAAAUGAACACUUCACUGGUGACUGGACGGUUUUGUACUAGUUUCUGUAGACUUUACCUGUAACUGUGAGGUGAGAAAGAAUUUAUAUUUUUUAGUUUGUAAUUUUCUACUGAUAAUCUCUUCCAGGGCCCUGUGAGAAAGAAUUUAUAUUUUUUAGUUUGUAAUUUUCUACUGAUAAUCUCUUCCAGGGCCCUGUGAGAGAUGUAGUGAUUAAGAUUUCAACAAGACUUUGAACAAGUUAU